This 3755-nucleotide long non-coding RNA is filed under the name Equus caballus (horse). RNAcentral describes it as "lncRNA (ENSECAG00000047183.1)". The record is from RNAcentral. Lineage: Eukaryota; Metazoa; Chordata; Mammalia; Perissodactyla; Equidae.
GGUAAAACUGAGGUGCUGGGCGCCCCGAGAGGACCCGGGGGUAGGGAUGAGGGCACAGGGUGGGGAAGCCGGGAGCCCUGGCUGUCGGAUGGGAUCCUAAGGAAGGAGGCAUUUGGGCCUGUGGAUGGCGCACCCGUCCGCACCCCUCCCAGGGGUGCUUCUCCUCCCAGGACAGGAUGCUGCCUCGUGUAGGCAGCACAAAUCCUCGGGAUGCCAGACCCCUAAGGCAUUGUCCUGAAGGCAGAUGGCCCCAGGCCCCUGGACAAAGGCCCCGUUAUCCUCGGCGCUGCCCCACGCUGCUCUCUCUGUCUGUCCUCCCGGCUUGUUAGGGGACCUUGUGUCCUGGGACUGAUCAUGUCCACUCUCCCGGCCUCUGUAUCUGCUGAACGCAAGGAGGGGCUGGUCCAAUCCCAGCCCUGACCCUCCCCUUGCUGGUGGGAAAGAAUCAUCCUUUUGUCUCGUUCUUUCAGUGUGUUUGCAUUAAGUCUGCUUUAGCCUGGGUGGUCAGAGAAGGCCUCACUGAGCAAGUUCCAGGUGAAGUAUGACCCGCAUGUUGAGAAGGAGCCAGCCAUGUAAAGACUGCAGGGACAGCAGGUGCAAAGGCCCUGAGAAGCACCUCAGAAGCGCUGUCUCUCUCUGAGCAGCACGGAUUUGAAGACUCGAAUGCCAACCAGAGAGGGGAGGGCUGAAGACACAGACACCAGCAGCCAGCCUACAGGGUUCCGCAUCCCAGCUCGGCCAUUGACUCCCCCUGGACCUUGAGGAAACAGGGAGGUGCCGGACAGCCAAGCCCGAGUGAGAACCCCCACCCAGGAUGAGGAUCCCUGGGGCCAGGGACGCACAUCACCUGUAGGCCAGCGGGCCUGAGCUGUGCACCUCGCUGCUCUCUGCGGAAGAAGACGUCACAUGCGGCCCAGCCGCAGGCUCCAGAGUCCCGGGAGCCUCGCAUGUGGGGCCCGUGGAGCGCCUGGGGGCCAUGGGGCUUGGAGCCCAGGAGCUGUCACUGCUGCCCUGUGGAGGGUCCCUCAGUCCCUGUUGACCUUGAACGGCGACCCCUGGGUGCAAGCGGGAGACUUUUUGCCCUGGGUGUGAGUUGACCCCUCUGCUGGGUCUAUAUGGGUCCAGGAAGUGCCCGGUCAGGGGACCGAGCCCAGGCAGUCCUCAGGACUCUGUUGGGGGCAGGGUGCUCUCUGAGAAGCAGAAUCAGGCUUGGGGCACCCGUGUCAUCUAUUUUGGGUCUUCGGCUCACUGCUUGUGAAGGGGGUCUUUUAACACCAAACCCAGUGCCAGCCUUGGACACGUGGGGGUGGCCUGGAUGGCUCGGCUGGGCAGGGCUGGGCUAACGUCCACCCUGGCCGCUGGCUAGAAGAGGCCACGAGAGGGGGGCCAGGGCGCCAUCCAGCUCCUGGGGAGCCGCCUGCUGGAUUGCGCAGGGGGCUGGGAACCCACUGGGUUGUGUGCCCAGGAUGGCAGCACGCAGGGUUGUGUUCUGGUGGCUCAGACCUGCCUUAUCCCCCACUUACAGAGGGGUAAACUGAGGUUCCAACUGUGUGUGGUGGCGGCAGGGCUGGGACUUGACCCCACACCUCCGGCUGGAAGCCGCGCCCCCAGAUCUUCUCUUUUAUUCCCUGGGCCCCGACGAGGCCCUGGGUCUCCACACAUCGUGACCAGCCGGCAGGAGGGCCUGGGGUUUGUGGAACAAUGUGGAGUGAGUUAAACAGACACAAGUCCCCGUUGUCGUGGAGAUUAUCGUUUCAGAAGGUGGAGCUGGGGAGGGGUGGUGGGGGCUGAGGACUGUCUGACGGCAGCUCCCGUGACUUGGUCCCACCGAGCCUUGGGCUGGGCGCCCGGUAAAUACACUCCUAUGUUAUCCACACGACCACUGCAUGAGGUGGUCAUUAUUGUCCUCAGCUCUGCGGGGUAAACCGAGGCAAAGACAGUUGAACAAUAUGCAAGAGGGCAUGAGAGGUGAAUGUAGUUUGCACGUGGGAUGGAUGUGAAUUUGGGGGGCAAGGGGGAGACUAUAAUGGGUUGGAUAGUAGCCCCCGCAAUAUGUCUCCCGGAACCUCAGAAUGUGACCCUACUUGGAAUAAAGGUCUUUGCAGAUGUAGUUAAAGUAAGGACCCCGAGAUGAGAUCCUCCUGGAUCAGGGCGGACCCCAAAUAUAAUGACGAGCGCCCAUGUAAGAGACUGAAGAGGAGAAGACGCACAGAGACAUUCUGACGUCUCCAGAAGGCCACGUGAGGGUGGAGGCAGAGAUGGAAGUGAUGCAGCCAUGAGCCAAGGACACCUGGGGCCGCUGGAAGCUGGAAGAGACAAAGAAGCGUCCUCCCCUAGAGCCUUCGGGGCAGCGUGACCCUGUUGACACGUUGAUUUUGGACUUCUGGUCUCUAGAGCUGGGGAGAAGAAACUUCUGUUUUUUUAAGCCCCCAAGUUCGGGCGGGACCACGAUCCGGCCCUGGGGGCGUCUGCCACAGGCCUUGUUUCUCACGCCCCUGCCUGCCCAGGCAGGCCCUGGCCUAGAGUCCUGCAUCCUUUCCUUGGUGGUGGAAAAGGAAGGGCCGUGCAUCUUUGCCGAGCACCUGCCAAGGGCCAGAGGCUGUCACAGGCCUUCUCAUCCACAUUCGUGCCAGCCUGUGAGAUGCCCACUCUUAUCCAUCCUACAGAUGAAGGCAGUCCGCAGACGAGGCCCUGGCUGGGCCCUGAGAGGGUGGGGCACUCAGAGAAGAGGGGCUCUGAGCCCCAGAGCUGUCGUUUGCUUCCACCAAAAUGCCCCUGAACGGGCAGGGUGUGAUGAGAGAAUCGCUCAGUGGACGCACAGCACGAUGCCAUAAAAACCCCACAGCUGCCCUCUAAACACGCGUGCCCAGAGAAAGAUGAGAAAACUGAGUCUCAGAUGCGAAUAAACGGGUUCCCACAGCUGCGAAGCGUCGGAGUUGGGACUGCCAACACCCAUUGCCCAUGUCCGUGCUCUUAAAAGUCAUUGAGCGCCUACUCUGUGCACACUGUGCCUGACUGCUGGGCCCCAGGCGCCUGCUCUGAGAACCGCCAGAGCCUGCCACGUGGACCCCCUCCCCCCGGCAGCCGUCACAUCUGCAGCUCUCGUGGUGACACUUCAUCAGUGAUGUGGGAUGGGGACGUCACUCUUUCAAGUCUGUGUGCACACGGCACGCCUUAUCUCCCCAGCUGGACCAGCACACCCGGCCAGUGGGACGUGCCUGCGGUUUCUCCCAUGUCUCCUUCUGUCCCUAGCAGGCACUCUGGCAUGCGUGUAGCAAUCCUUCUUGAAGGAAUGUGUAAAAUGUGGAGUAGAUGGUGACGCUGACCACCAGGGCCGAAUUUCAGUUAGGCCCUGGUGCCUUUAUAGGUGACCACAGUGCUUGGUGCUGAGUACUUCAUGAAACUCCUCGUUGCAUCCUCCCAAUGGGCCCUUUGGGACUGGAGGACGCCCAGAGAGGCCAAAUGACUUGCUCAGUGUCACUCCAUGGUGCCUGGACCGGGGAUUGAAGGCUGGCUGUGCUGACGUCAUCACAGGAGCUGGGGGGCCAGUGGGCUUGUCCAUUUAUCCUGAGGGUCUAGGGCAGUGCUAUCCCGUGGAAGCAUCAUGUGAAACGCAUCUGUAAUUUUAAGUUUCCUGGUAGCCACGUUAAGAAAGUAAAAAGAAACAGGUAAAGUUGAUUUUAAUAAUAUGUUUUCUUAGCCCAGUGUAUCCAAAAUAUGUGAUCAGUAGAAAAAUUAUUAAUGAGAACUUGUAC